RNAcentral lists this ribosomal RNA (213 nucleotides) under uncultured bacterium. Its description in RNAcentral is "partial 16S ribosomal RNA". It matches the Rfam family "Bacterial small subunit ribosomal RNA", at positions 524 to 737 of the family's 1533-position model. The record is from RNAcentral.
UACGUAGGGUGCGAGCGUUGUCCGGAAUUAUUGGGCGUAAAGGGCGCGUAGGCGGCUUGGCAAGUGGAAGGUGAAAUCCCUCGGCUUAACCGAGGAACUGCCCUCCAAACUGCUUCGCUUGAGACCGGGAGAGGUGAGUGGAAUUCCCAGUGUAGCAGUGAAAUGCGUAGAUAUUGGGAGGAACACCAGUGGCGGAAGGCGGAGCUCGACUGG